UUGAAAGGGAAACGAUUGAAGUCAGUGUACUGUGGGUAAUCAGCUUUUGGGUGUGAUUUUGUGGAGUGUGAGGAGUUAANGCUNNUUUUGAUAUUGUGANUUGGGUGUAUUUACNGUGUGGUAAGUUAACANAAUUCGGUGGNAUAAAAUGGUGGAGGAAUGUAGCUGANUUGUAUUGAAGUGUUAUAGCCUNGGUAGAUGUGAUAAUGGGAUUGAGGAUUGAACGGAUACCCUUCGGGGCUACCUGUCUGAUCUCUGAUCGUUGUUUUGGUGCUGAAAGCGUGCUUAUAGUUAUAAGUCGAUGGUCAUAGGUUAGAAUGGGUUAAAUCGUUAAGGAUGUUGACGUA
Molecule: ribosomal RNA, 347 nt
Filed under: uncultured Glomeromycotina
Lineage: Eukaryota; Fungi; Glomeromycota
Description: partial large subunit ribosomal RNA
Source: RNAcentral